Molecule: small RNA, 29 nt
Filed under: Bombyx mori (domestic silkworm)
Lineage: Eukaryota; Metazoa; Arthropoda; Insecta; Lepidoptera; Bombycidae
Description: ovarian small RNA-18594
Source: RNAcentral
UAACAGACAAACCUGGUUUCUACUUACUA